UUCAUUCUUCCUCUUCGUCUCUCCAAGCAGCGCUCCUCUCUCCUUCUCCAAAAUCAGAGAAACAGUCACCCCUCCCCUCUCUCUGUGCUCUAGUGAAAACGCCACCACCAAGAGGCGCGAGGCUGAUCUCUCUUCCCCUUUCUCUCCCUCCAUCUCUCUCCUCUCGAUUCAGUAGCUACCAGGCGAGGCCACCGGCAAGCAUAAGCUUCAAUUGGCGACACCCAUGUCAUCUUCCUCUGCCUCUUGUACCUUUCUCCACCUUCCUCUUAUUUUUUCCCUCUCUUUGCAGGACCAAUAGAAGAGCCAGGCGAGACCACUAGCGAAGGAAGCACCCGCCGGCGAAAGCAACCACCAGAAAGUAGCCCCGACAAGCAGCGUGCUCCGGCGAGAAUGCCGAGUACCAGAAGUCGACGUCGCUCCUUCUAUUCUCCAUUUUUCGAGCAACAACAAAACCAGAAGCUUCGACUCCAUCGAGCAGCGAAACAAAAGCAGCUUCGUCGAUAGCUCCGGUCAACAACUCCAUGCAACAGCUAUGGAGAAAUCUUCUCCAUCUCCAGCGCCCCUUUCUUCUUUUGCAGCGAGGACGAACAAAUUCCAGCAAUACUUCAAAGCUUCUAAGCUUGUUAAGACAGAUCUUGGAUGAUUCGUCCACAAACAAUUCCAACAAAAUAUGCUUAUGAUAAAUAAAGGAAAGCAUCUGGUUUCGUAAUAAGCGUGGGAGGUUGAAGAGCCGCCGUGACGAGGAAUGCUUGGACAGAGCUUUUAUAUAAUUAAUUUCAAUGUUUGAAUUUUUAUUUAAGUGUUGGUUGGUAAUAAUGUUGUAUAACUCCAACUCUCCUAUAUGUAUGAUAUAUUUGGGGGACCUUGUUUAUUUAUUUUAUCGUAACUUAUAAAGUUAGAAAGCAUGCCUAUAUGA
Molecule: long non-coding RNA, 916 nt
Organism: Solanum pennellii
Lineage: Eukaryota; Viridiplantae; Streptophyta; Magnoliopsida; Solanales; Solanaceae
Exons: 2
Source: RefSeq, a predicted model, not a curated record